This 253-nucleotide ribosomal RNA is filed under the name uncultured bacterium. RNAcentral describes it as "partial 16S ribosomal RNA". It matches the Rfam family "Bacterial small subunit ribosomal RNA", at positions 524 to 776 of the family's 1533-position model. The record is from RNAcentral.
UACAGAGGGGGCAAGCGUUAUUCGGAAUUAUUGGGCGUAAAGGGCGCGUAGGCGGCUUUGCAAGUGGCGGGUGAAAUCCCUCGGCUUAACCGAGGAACUGCCUGUCAAACUGCAUGGCUUGAGACCGGGAGAGGUGAGUGGAAUUCCCAGUGUAGCGGUGAAAUGCGUAGAUAUUGGGAGGAACACCAGUGGCGAAGGCGGCUCACUGGACCGGUACUGACGCUGAUGCGCGAAAGCGUGGGGAGCAAACGGG